Molecule: ribosomal RNA, 2901 nt
Filed under: Escherichia coli 1827-70
Lineage: Bacteria; Pseudomonadati; Pseudomonadota; Gammaproteobacteria; Enterobacterales; Enterobacteriaceae
Description: 23S ribosomal RNA
Source: RNAcentral
AAGGUUAAGCCUCACGGUUCAUUAGUACCGGUUAGCUCAACGCAUCGCUGCGCUUACACACCCGGCCUAUCAACGUCGUCGUCUUCAACGUUCCUUCAGGACCCUUAAAGGGUCAGGGAGAACUCAUCUCGGGGCAAGUUUCGUGCUUAGAUGCUUUCAGCACUUAUCUCUUCCGCAUUUAGCUACCGGGCAGUGCCAUUGGCAUGACAACCCGAACACCAGUGAUGCGUCCACUCCGGUCCUCUCGUACUAGGAGCAGCCCCCCUCAGUUCUCCAGCGCCCACGGCAGAUAGGGACCGAACUGUCUCACGACGUUCUAAACCCAGCUCGCGUACCACUUUAAAUGGCGAACAGCCAUACCCUUGGGACCUACUUCAGCCCCAGGAUGUGAUGAGCCGACAUCGAGGUGCCAAACACCGCCGUCGAUAUGAACUCUUGGGCGGUAUCAGCCUGUUAUCCCCGGAGUACCUUUUAUCCGUUGAGCGAUGGCCCUUCCAUUCAGAACCACCGGAUCACUAUGACCUGCUUUCGCACCUGCUCGCGCCGUCACGCUCGCAGUCAAGCUGGCUUAUGCCAUUGCACUAACCUCCUGAUGUCCGACCAGGAUUAGCCAACCUUCGUGCUCCUCCGUUACUCUUUAGGAGGAGACCGCCCCAGUCAAACUACCCACCAGACACUGUCCGCAACCCGGAUUACGGGUCAACGUUAGAACAUCAAACAUUAAAGGGUGGUAUUUCAAGGUCGGCUCCAUGCAGACUGGCGUCCACACUUCUAAGCCUCCCACCUAUCCUACACAUCAAGGCUCAAUGUUCAGUGUCAAGCUAUAGUAAAGGUUCACGGGGUCUUUCCGUCUUGCCGCGGGUACACUGCAUCUUCACAGCGAGUUCAAUUUCACUGAGUCUCGGGUGGAGACAGCCUGGCCAUCAUUACGCCAUUCGUGCAGGUCGGAACUUACCCGACAAGGAAUUUCGCUACCUUAGGACCGUUAUAGUUACGGCCGCCGUUUACCGGGGCUUCGAUCAAGAGCUUCGCUUGCGCUGACCCCAUCAAUUAACCUUCCGGCACCGGGCAGGCGUCACACCGUAUACGUCCACUUUCGUGUUUGCACAGUGCUGUGUUUUUAAUAAACAGUUGCAGCCAGCUGGUAUCUUCGACUGAUUUCAGCUCCAUCCGCGAGGGACUUCACCUACAUAUCAGCGUGCCUUCUCCCGAAGUUACGGCACCAUUUUGCCUAGUUCCUUCACCCGAGUUCUCUCAAGCGCCUUGGUAUUCUCUACCUGACCACCUGUGUCGGUUUGGGGUACGAUUUGAUGUUACCUGAUGCUUAGAGGCUUUUCCUGGAAGCAGGGCAUUUGUUGCUUCAGCACCGUAGUGCCUCGUCAUCACGCCUCAGCCUUGAUUUUCCGGAUUUGCCUGGAAAACCAGCCUACACGCUUAAACCGGGACAACCGUCGCCCGGUCAACAUAGCCUUCUCCGUCCCCCUUCGCAGUAACACCAAGUACAGGAAUAUUAACCUGUUUCCCAUCGACUACGCCUUUCGGCCUCGCCUUAGGGGUCGACUCACCCUGCCCCGAUUAACGUUGGACAGGAACCCUUGGUCUUCCGGCGAGCGGGCUUUUCACCCGCUUUAUCGUUACUUAUGUCAGCAUUCGCACUUCUGAUACCUCCAGCAUACCUCACAGUACACCUUCACAGGCUUACAGAACGCUCCCCUACCCAACAACGCAUAAGCGUCGCUGCCGCAGCUUCGGUGCAUGGUUUAGCCCCGUUACAUCUUCCGCGCAGGCCGACUCGACCAGUGAGCUAUUACGCUUUCUUUAAAUGAUGGCUGCUUCUAAGCCAACAUCCUGGCUGUCUGGGCCUUCCCACAUCGUUUCCCACUUAACCAUGACUUUGGGACCUUAGCUGGCGGUCUGGGUUGUUUCCCUCUUCACGACGGACGUUAGCACCCGCCGUGUGUCUCCCGUGAUAACAUUCUCCGGUAUUCGCAGUUUGCAUCGGGUUGGUAAGUCGGGAUGACCCCCUUGCCGAAACAGUGCUCUACCCCCGGAGAUGAGUUCACGAGGCGCUACCUAAAUAGCUUUCGGGGAGAACCAGCUAUCUCCCGGUUUGAUUGGCCUUUCACCCCCAGCCACAAGUCAUCCGCUAAUUUUUCAACAUUAGUCGGUUCGGUCCUCCAGUUAGUGUUACCCAACCUUCAACCUGCCCAUGGCUAGAUCACCGGGUUUCGGGUCUAUACCCUGCAACUUAACGCCCAGUUAAGACUCGGUUUCCCUUCGGCUCCCCUAUUCGGUUAACCUUGCUACAGAAUAUAAGUCGCUGACCCAUUAUACAAAAGGUACGCAGUCACACGCCUAAGCGUGCUCCCACUGCUUGUACGUACACGGUUUCAGGUUCUUUUUCACUCCCCUCGCCGGGGUUCUUUUCGCCUUUCCCUCACGGUACUGGUUCACUAUCGGUCAGUCAGGAGUAUUUAGCCUUGGAGGAUGGUCCCCCCAUAUUCAGACAGGAUACCACGUGUCCCGCCCUACUCAUCGAGCUCACAGCAUGUGCAUUUUUGUGUACGGGGCUGUCACCCUGUAUCGCGCGCCUUUCCAGACGCUUCCACUAACACACACACUGAUUCAGGCUCUGGGCUGCUCCCCGUUCGCUCGCCGCUACUGGGGGAAUCUCGGUUGAUUUCUUUUCCUCGGGGUACUUAGAUGUUUCAGUUCCCCCGGUUCGCCUCAUUAACCUAUGGAUUCAGUUAAUGAUAGUGUGACGAAUCACACUGGGUUUCCCCAUUCGGAAAUCGCCGGUUAUAACGGUUCAUAUCACCUUACCGACGCUUAUCGCAGAUUAGCACGUCCUUCAUCGCCUCUGACUGCCAGGGCAUCCACCGUGUACGCUUAGUCGCUUAA